GAAGAAGAAGAAGAAGAAACAUUUGUUCGUCCAAGCGUUUGAGUCUGUUUUUAUGUGGUUGAGUGUCCUUAUUCUACUGCUACACAAAGGAUGGUCUUCCGUAAUGUCAAAAUCCCACUGCCAUCAAGACACUUCUGACCCAUCAAGGCAAGGACUCCACAAGACUUCUAAAGGUAUUAACCACUGCAUCCCAGGUCACCGCUCAAGACUGCUGUUCCGCUGACGCUGUAUCCCAGUCAUCUAGCCAUCACAGUUAGAACUCACAGUCGUACAACAAAUGUGUACAGCACACCAGAAGAAGUGUUCAGCCUGAUGGAGCGGACUGCAACAUGGCAUGAUGGAUGUUGAGGAGCUGAUACAUGUCAAGCUCAAGAGACAGACAUAAAUCAUUGCAGAGAGGGUGAAAUGACUAAGAAAGAAAGAUCAGAGAUUGAUAUGAACUAAAGGAAAGAUACAGCAAGUCUAUUAAUUCAUAAUCACAUGACCAGAGUGAGAAAAUAGAAAUAGCAAAAAUUGGCAAUUACAUAAAUACAUAUGCCAAAUCAUCAUGGCAAAUACA
Molecule: long non-coding RNA, 559 nt
Organism: Tachysurus fulvidraco (yellow catfish)
Lineage: Eukaryota; Metazoa; Chordata; Actinopteri; Siluriformes; Bagridae
Exons: 4
Source: RefSeq, a predicted model, not a curated record